RNAcentral lists this ribosomal RNA (433 nucleotides) under uncultured bacterium. RNAcentral's name for it is "partial 16S ribosomal RNA". It matches the Rfam family "Bacterial small subunit ribosomal RNA", at positions 29 to 507 of the family's 1533-position model. The record is from RNAcentral.
AACGAACGCUGGCGGCAGGCCUAACACAUGCAAGUCGAGCGCGCCCUUCGGGGUGAGCGGCGGACGGGUGAGUAACGCGUGGGAACGUGCCCUUCUCUGCGGAAUAGCCUCGGGAAACUGAGAGUAAUACCGCAAACGCCCUUUGGGGGAAAGAUUUAUCGGAGAAGGAUCGGCCCGCGUUGGAUUAGGUAGUUGGUGGGGUAAUGGCCCACCAAGCCGACGAUCCAUAGCUGGUUUGAGAGGAUGAUCAGCCACACUGGGACUGAGACACGGCCCAGCCUCCUACGGGAGGCAGCAGAGGGGAAUCUUAGACAAUGGGGGCAACCCUGAUCGAGCCAUGCCGCGUGAGUGAUGAAGGCCUUAGGGUUGUAAAGCUCUUUCAGCUGGGAAGAUAAUGACGGUACCAGCAGAAGAAGCCCCGGCUAACUCCGUG